ACAUUGACUAUUUUUAAGUGCGUAUCUAUGAGUCAUUUCUAGACAAUGCCUUUAUUAGUUAAAUCUAGUACAGUAUAAAAUUUCUCUUCAAUGGAAGGACUCAGUUUAAAUCAAUUGACAGACUGUAUUAAGAAAACUGAACUGUGCGUGGACUGGAUAAGCCAAUGCCAGGAUGGAAGUAAACAUCACAAAUUUUUGACAAAGAGGGACGCCUCAGACGUAAUUAAAUUAGAUGUUCAAAACGUUUCUACAGAACAUGAUAUGCUUCCAGCAAGAUUUCGAGGUAUUUUUUUUAUCUU
This is a long non-coding RNA of Saccostrea cuccullata (small rock oyster), 299 nucleotides long. RefSeq lists it as uncharacterized. The transcript is spliced from 3 exons. NCBI's taxonomy places the organism in Eukaryota, Metazoa, Mollusca, Bivalvia, Ostreida, Ostreidae. The record is from RefSeq and is a predicted model, not a curated record.